RNAcentral lists this long non-coding RNA (1307 nucleotides) under Pan troglodytes (chimpanzee). Its description in RNAcentral is "lncRNA (ENSPTRG00000054242.1)". The record is from RNAcentral. Lineage: Eukaryota; Metazoa; Chordata; Mammalia; Primates; Hominidae.
UGCCAGUCCUUGGAGGAGUUUCCAGGCUGUGAUAAGACCUUAUUUGUGUUUUUGACAGAAUUUGGACAGGAGAAGUCACAUCAGGGAGACCAGAGACUAGAGUAUUGCAUCAUAGAGGAAAGACACUGAUGACAAGAACUCAGGGGAGCAGUGGAACUGGAGGCCUGGGAGCUUGGGACGUGUUCUCUGGGUGAAGUUGGCCGGCCAGCUGAUGACCUACACCAGUGGCAUUCACUCCUCAUGUGUCCCCCAGGAAUUCAUGGUGUGUGUCAUCAGCAGUGGCCACUGCCCUUGCAGGGGAUCCCGUCCUGCAAACACACAUCUUCUGCACACUCAUGCGAAGUCCCGUUGAACCACUCUGGAAGAUCCCAUUCGCUGGACUCUUGUCUGCACACUUCGACCGAUGGCAUGAUCUGGCAGUUUUUGCAGCAAAGCCCCAAAACACAAGCAGCCCCAGGUUUGAAAGUGCAAUUUGCAAAGCAACAUGGCUCUUUUCACACGAUGGCCAACACCUGCAGUGUCCAUUGUAAUGAAGUUUUCUUGAGUCCAGAUCUCAAGUCCCACUACAGUGACAAUGGCACCCAGUGGAAUAUAAAAUGCAUCAGCUUUUUGAUACAGCAUGAGUACUUCCUCCUGCACAUUUGAGGUAUGACUUUCCAGAUAAAGGAAUCAUUCAUCAACUACCACUACUGCCAGUUCAACAAACAAUUUAUGGGUCCACCAGCCCUCAAAGCCACUUUGCAUUAGAGUAGAAGGAUCUUGAAACUUCAAUUGUCUUGCUAUUUCUUCCUCUAUCAACCCACAUCUCAUGGGUGGGAAUUGUGUCUCCUCAUUGUCCAUCUUAUAUAUCAGAUGUUCAAAUGUGGCUGAAAGCCUUUUGGGCUUGAUUUCCUAAGCAGUGUCAUUUAUCUGUGGUAUUCCUUGAAAGCCCCCCAAACAGCUGCUAAGAGCAACCAGGGAUUCUGGGUCCCCUUCCACAUAACUGUGAUAGUAGCAGUCAUCCUGGACAAAAGUUGGUCCUCAAAAAUAGCACCCUGGUCUGAGUAGGUGAACACAGAGAAGGAUUUGGAUAUCAAAAAUAUCAAAAGCUUAUUGACCUUCAUGUGGACAAUGUACCUUUGGCUGCCAACUUGCAGGCCAUAGGACAGCCAGCCUUGAGUGUCCAUGCCUCUGUCAGCGCCAGUUAUCCUCAGGGGUAUCACCACUUCUGGGAGGCUUUGGUGUUGACAGAGCCCAAUCUGGAGCCAUCCAGAAAAGAACAGAAACACUCCCAGCCAGAGCAGCAGAUGGGUGAACCUCACAUGGAC